UGGGGAAUUUUGGACAAUGGGCGCAAGCCUGAUCCAGCCAUGCCGCGUGAGUGAAGAAGGCCUUCGGGUUGUAAAGCUCUUUCAGACGGAAAGAAAUCUCUCAGGAUAAUACAUUGGGAGGAUGACGGUACCGUAAGAAGAAGCACCGGCUAACUACGUGCCAGCAGCCGCGGUAAUACGUAGGGUGCGAGCGUUAAUCGGAAUUACUGGGCGUAAAGCGUGCGCAGGCGGUGAUGUAAGACAGAUGUGAAAUCCCCGGGCUCAACCAGGGAACUGCGUUUGUGACUGCAUCAAUCGAAUACAGCAUAGGGAGGUGGAAUUCCGCGUGUAACAGUGAAAAGCGUAGAUAUGCGGAGGAACACCGAUGGCGAAGGCAGCCUCCUGGGCCAGUACUGACGCUCAAGCACGGAAGCGUGGGGAACAAACA
Molecule: ribosomal RNA, 427 nt
Filed under: uncultured bacterium
Lineage: Bacteria
Description: bacterial SSU rRNA
Rfam family: Bacterial small subunit ribosomal RNA
Source: RNAcentral